This 484-nucleotide ribosomal RNA is filed under the name uncultured Nakamurella sp. RNAcentral's name for it is "partial 16S ribosomal RNA". Lineage: Bacteria; Bacillati; Actinomycetota; Actinomycetes; Nakamurellales; Nakamurellaceae. The record is from RNAcentral.
CACGUAGUUGGCCGGUGCUUCUUCUGCUCCUACCGUCACUUUCGCUUCGUCAGAGCUGAAAGAGGUUUACAACCCGAAGGCCGUCAUCCCUCACGCGGCGUCGCUGCGUCAGGCUUUCGCCCAUUGCGCAAUAUUCCCCACUGCUGCCUCCCGUAGGAGUCUGGGCCGUGUCUCAGUCCCAGUGUGGCCGGUCGCCCUCUCAGGCCGGCUACCCGUCGUCGCCUUGGUAGGCUAUUACCCCACCAACAAGCUGAUAGGCCGCGGGCCCAUCCUCAGCCGAAAAACUUUCCACCCCACACCAUGCGAUGCGAAGUCCUAUCCAGUAUUAGCACCGGUUUCCCGGAGUUAUCCCAGAGCUGAGGGCAGGUUGCCCACGUGUUACUCACCCGUUCGCCACUCGAGUACCCGCAAGCGGGCCUUUCCGUUCGACUUGCAUGUGUUAAGCACGCCGCCAGCGUUCGUCCUGUAGCCAGGAUCAAACUCU